UGGGGAAUAUUGGACAAUGGGCGAAAGCCUGAUCCAGCCAUGCCGCGUGUGUGAAGAAGGUCUUCGGAUUGUAAAGCACUUUAAGUUGGGAGGAAGGGCAUUAACCUAAUACGUUAGUGUUUUGACGUUACCGACAGAAUAAGCACCGGCUAACUCUUUGCCAGCAGCCGCGGUAAUACAGAGGGUGCAAGCGUUAAUCGGAAUUACUGGGCGUAAAGCGCGCGUAGGUGGUUUGUUAAGUUGGAUGUGAAAUCCCCGGGCUCAACCUGGGAACUGCAUUCAAAACUGACUGACUAGAGUAUGGUAGAGGGUGGUGGAAUUUCCUGUGUAGCGGUGAAAUGCGUAGAUAUAGGAAGGAACACCAGUGGCGAAGGCGACCACCUGGACUAAUACUGACACUGAGGUGCGAAAGCGUGGGGAGCAAACA
RNAcentral lists this ribosomal RNA (427 nucleotides) under uncultured bacterium. RNAcentral's name for it is "partial 16S ribosomal RNA". It matches the Rfam family "Bacterial small subunit ribosomal RNA", at positions 355 to 774 of the family's 1533-position model. The record is from RNAcentral.